AGGGAGAGGGAGGGUUCCUCUGGUUCUCCGUGCCGUAGCACGUGUGGGCGUAGGCCAGCUGGCUCCUGGAUGAAGCCCACAAACAUGAUGCCCUGAUCCGCAGCGUCCUGGAUCUGCUGAGAAGAGAGAUAUGAACAGAACAUGCAUUCCUCCAGUUUGAGAUGGUAAGGCUCAAAGUCUGCCGGAUUCUUCUCCCAGCUGAAGAGAGAGAGGGGAACACCGGUUUAAUGUCAAACAUACCACUCUUAAACAGAGGAGCCAUGCAGAGAUCCCAGUGAGGUGCUGAUCUCAGGGACACCCAUUCCAGCGUCUUCUCUUCCCAUCUUCUGUGUGCAUGUGACAUUUGGGACAGAGAUUAAACCCACUAACCCAGAGCUCUAUCCAACCACAAAGUCGCAGCGCAGCAGGGCCCUGACUCACCUCUGUCACACACACACAUGAAUUCACACUUCCCGCCAACACACGGCCAUCUGCUGCCUGAACACAUUCCCCUCAUGGUGUUCCUGCAGCACGUACGACUGGAUCCUGCAGUCUGGCUUUAACAUGAAGAUAAACAAAUCUGAGCAGCGUAUGAGCGGCAGAAUGAGAGGCCCGUCUAUUUAACAAGUUAAUUUAGUGUGAUUAACAAUAAUAAAAAAGGAAAAACAUGCUUUCUUGCAAUUAAUCAUGGCCCCUGACAUGUUGGUGAAUUUUGUAAUGUAAAUAUGGAGAUUUCCUACCAUCUGAGCAAUUGUGAGUUUGUUGUCCUGUAACCACUUGUGAUAACACACAAAAAAGCAAAAAGCUGGCUUUCAAAUAUACUUCAAAUUGCAAUCUCACUACAAACAUGACAUCUUGAGCUGAAUGCAUUUUUUUUCAAGAUUUCUCAAGCUCCCUAAGUUUGCGUUCAUUACAAUUUUUUUUAAUUAAAAAAUAAUAACUUUUUUUUUUUUUAUUAAUUUUUUCUUAUUUGAAUUAAUACUGUUAUUCAGCAAGCAUGCAUUAAAUUGAUCAAAAUUGAAACGGAAGGCAUUUAUAUACAAAAGAUAUCUAUUUCAAAUAAAUGCUGUUCUUUUUAACUUUCUAUUUUUUUAAAUCACAUUUUCCACAAAAAAAUCAACUAAUAAUCAAAAAUGUUUCUUGAGCAGCAAAUCAGCAUAUGAGAAUGAUUUCUGAAGGAUAAUGUGACAUUGAAGAUUGAAGUAAUGAUGCUGAAAAUCCAUUUUACAAUAUAUUCAAAUGAAGCAUGAAGGUUAUUUUAAAAUGUAAUAACAUUUAAUAAUAUUACUUUUUUUUCCCACUGUAUUUAUGAUCAAGUAAAUGGAGCCUACAAAUAAAAAUAGACCAUUUUAAAAACACUUUUUGUAACCCAGUACAUGAUUGACAGGUUUGUAUGUGGAUCUUUCAACAAAUUCAAAUUUUGGAAUGUUUUGGAACCUUUUUUUCUAAUCAGUUUUUGAUUUUGCUGACCACUUGUUAUGAGAUAACCUGAGAUCGCCCAUACUGAGAUCACUACUGAAUCACGAGGAAGAAAAUGUGAGAAGCAGGAGACCUCAGCUUUCUAUUUCCCCACUUCUACAUUUGCUCUCCAUUUGAUCUCAAUUGAUUUAUUUUAAGAAAUGAAAUUUUUGUUUAGUCACCCUAUGCAUCCUGUGGUCACUAUGAACUUUUUCAUUCAAAAGAACCACGUGCUGAUUCUUCUUUUGUGUUCCACUGAAAAAUGCACCAGCAUGAAGAGGAGUAAAUACAGAUUUCUAACUUUUGCAUGAACUUUUCCUGUAAAGAGAUUACAUUUGUGAUAUUUCUUUCCUACAGGCUUAAUGCACCUACAGAAGAGCAAUCCACAGUUCUUGGCAGCGCCGAGGCUGUUUGUGGAAACGCUUUAGCGGGUUAAACAGCAGUAACUUGACAGAAAAGAUCCAGCCGCUUGCUCGCAGGAGUGCUGCUUCUGGGAAUAAAAAGCUUUAAGCAACACUGAUCUAGACUUCCUUCAGAAAUGGUUCGCUCAAAGGUUUCUCUCAGACACGGAUCUUAAGACACAGCUGGGUUGCACUGUUGGCAAACGCCUGUUUGCCUGCGGAUCAUCUUAGUUGGUGUGUGCGAAUGUGUGUGUGUAUGUGUUUUCAACUCUCUCUGUCUUUGCCCACAGGAAUGCCGAUAUCACUGGUGCUGUCAGAUUCAGUGUUUCCGGGUCUGGAGGCGAUAUCCAGCUGUGUGCAUGUGCAAUUCGGUGGCAUUGCCAUGACAACAACCUUCGAUGGGAUCCAUCAAACCUAGGUAUCCCCAUCUUUAAUCACUGCAUUAAUAAUGUAUCACAUCUUUCUUGAUGUCAGCUUAUUUACCGAGCCAUGAAUAAUGUUAUUCAAGCAUAUCGGCCUUAAUGGUUUCUGGUCCGUACCGGUACCCCUGUGAGGUGCUCGGCAAUUAUCAAAAAAUGAUGCAUAAAUCACCCACCCUCGUCGCUGAAGUGGAACUGUAACUAAAAUUGAACAUGGGGGGCUUGACAGUUGACAUUUGGAAUUAUAAACAUAGUCAGCUACCGCACACAUUCACCGCUAGGUUAUAAGUAAUGCCCGGCAAAUCGCUUUAAAACUGGCCUGCCGACGCUAAUCCCGAGAUUCUCCUUCACAGUUGUGAUGUUUGCGUCUACACGGGCCAGGAGUCAGGAGCAGCUCCUGCUUUAGCGGUGUAGCGUCUGGUUUGGGUGAGUUUCGGAGGGGAAACUGUAGUAAUGUCACCUACUAUAUGAGCUCCACACACAGCGGCUAAUCCUGAUGUGGGAGAGCUGGGCCUGCAUCCAGAGACUCUGGGUGAAUAUUAAACACUGGAACGUCUGAACUCCAUCCCAUCUCCUCUGUAGCUUCUCUACUAUACUAGAUAGAACAACAACAGGUGAAGGUGUUGAGUCGGCUCCCUGUUUAAAUUACUUAGAGGUGGGCGAUAUUAUCAAAAUAUUUACCACAAUACAUAAGUCAAUCAAAAGUGAUUUUUAACUAAAAAUCUUCACUACAAUGCAAGUCAUUUUAAACCAAAAUCUUUACCACAAUACAAGUAAUUUUUAACCAAAAUCUUCCCUACGAUACAAGUAGCCUAUUAUUGAAACAAGUUCUUUACCACAAGUAAUUUUUAAGCAACAUCUUUAGCAAGAUACAAGUAAUAUCUUUACAACAAUGCAAGUAUUUAACCAAAAUCUUUACCUCGAUACAAGUCAUUUUUAAACAUCUUUCUCACAAUAAAAGUAAUUUUAACUGAUAUCUUUUCCGCAAUACAAGUAAUUUUGAACCAAAAUCUUUGCCCUAAGUUAUUAAGCAAAUUCUUUACCACAAUAAAAGUUUUUUUUUUUUUUAACCAAAACCUUGUUUUGUGAGAUACAAGUCAUUUUUAGCCAAUAUCUUUACAUGAUACAAGUAAUUUUAACCAAAAUCUUUACCCCAAUAUAAUUAAAUUUUAACCAAAAUCUUUACCCCGAUACAAGUCAUUUUUUCACCACGGUAAAGAACGCCAUUACAUUAUUCUGUCUGAAAUCAGAGAUGCUACUAACUGAAAGUGAAGCCAUACCCUGUAUUUCUCAACAUCAAAUUUCUCACUUAAGACGACCAAAUUGUAUUGAUUCUUUUUUAACAAUUGUCUCUUGCUUCCAACAAAACCAACUAUUGUCCAAAUCCCUUAUUUACUUAAGUCACUGCAGCACUGAUAGAUGUGCUAGACAACAUUAUAAUUACAAUAUAUUUAUAGCCCUAAAACUGUUCAGUGUCAACACAUAGAGACCAUAACAGUAGGACUUUCUGUAAAGCUGCUUUGAAACUGUUUAUUGUGAAAAGUGCUUCACAAAGAUAUUUGACUUGACAAGAAUUUCAGAUAAAAUCUCAGCAUUGAAGAUCUGAACCCCUCUUCACAUGCAUUUUAUAUCUCUAUAUCCUUGUAAAGAUGAAACAUCGCUGAGAUGAAAUGAUAACAUUUACCUCUAGAAGAUCUUUUCUACCAGUUUUAAUUAGCUUGAUCAAAAUGAACUACCAGCCAAUCAACCAUCCAAAGCAAGUAAUGACCAGCUCAGACCAUCAGUAGUUGCUUUUAGCUGGAUUUCCUGACAGAUCCUUCCUUCAUCUCUCAUUUUGUUCCGUUUCCUCCUCCUCCUCCUCGUCCCCUCACCAGCUCUCUUGUCUUCUCCUCUGGACGUUUUUGGGUCUGUUUGUUUUGGGAGAGCGAGGAAUGGCUACAUGAAGGUUUUCUUUCAUCUGCACUUUUCCUCCCUCUCCGCUGUGAUUGCUGGGAUUGGCAGGGGAGGAGUAGAGCUGUGCCCUGUUUGAUAUCUCGCCUUUCUCUUGCUUUUUUUUCUGCAGGUUUAUCCCUCAGGGCCGCUGCUGAUGCGAGCAACUGUCUCCACGGUGACAGACGCCAAAGAUAAAGCAAGGCAGCUUUGCUGAAGCCAUCAAAGGUUGGCAGCCGUCUCGAUACUACGAUUCCUCCCAACACGCGCACAUCCACGCACACGUGACAGAAUCCAAGUCUGAUCUUCUUUCUUCUCAUUUUGCUCUUGGUCUCUUGAAGUCUUCGCUAUGAACAACACAUGCACAUCAUCCCAACAUCACGCCUACUCUAUGGAUGAAACAUGACUUCUUAAAAAAUUCUGUCAUUAUUUACUCAAUCUCAUGUUGUUCUUUCUUCCACCGAACCCAAAAUGGAAUCUUUCACAGUGCCAUUUUCCAUAUGACAAAAUCAUACAGUUACUAGGAGCUCCCAAAUGACAAAAACACCAAAAAGUAACCAUAAAAGUAGUCUAUACAACUACAAAUCAUACGAUAGCUUUGUGUACGGAGCAGACGCAAAUUUAAGUCACUACUCAAUAAAAAAUGCUCCUCUCCCCUCAUUUAGAUCCAGGUUUGAAGUUCAAAAGUUCAAAAACAUUGACAAUAAACAUGCAUUUAUGUAGAUUUAUGUACAUGAAAAUAUUCAAAAGUAACAGUAAAGACAUUCAAACUGCAACAAAAAUAAGUGCUGUUCUUUUGAAUGUUCUAUUCUAGAAUCUUAAAGGUGUAUCACGGUUUCCACAGAAAUAUGAAGCAGCACAACUAUUUUCAACAUUGAUAAUAAUCAGAAAUGUCUCUUGAGCAGCAAAUCAGCAUAUUAGAAUGAUUUCUGAAGGAUCAUGUGACACUAAAGACUGGAGUAUGCUAAAAAUUCAGCUUUGCAUCAAAGGACUAAAAUGACAUUUUAAAAUAAAUUCAAGUAGUAAACAGUUAUUUUAAAUUGUAAUAAUUUUAGUUCACAGUAUUUCUGAUUAAAUAAAUGCAGCCUUGAUGAGCAGAAAAGACUGCUCAUCUACAUAAAUGUUUUUUUUUUUUAAUGUUAAUGUUUAUUUAUGAUCAUUUUUUUAGCUGCAUUCCUUAAAAUGUCUCCUUUUGUGUUCCAUUUAAAUAAACUAACAGCAUACCGUAUGAGUUUGAAACUAAAUUGUCAUUUCUGGGUCAGCUGUUCCUUUAGGAUGAGUGAUGGAGUGUGAAUAUGCCUUUAAUAAUGAGUUUUUGCGUGAGCAUUCUUGCUUUUCAGUGCAUGACACAUUAACAUGAGGGGAGGUCGUGCCAAGAGUUCAUCUUGACAUCCAUUGAACUGUGUAAUGUUACAGUACAGUUUACCGCUCAAGUUCAUACCGGCCCUCACAAAGUGCUGUUUCAAGUGGAAAAUUACACUCAUGCGUAGAAGAAGAGUAGCCAGAAGAUCAACAGUAAUAUAGAGAGGAAUUUUUCCUUCUUAAUGUUUUAUAUUAAACCUUCAUUUGCCAGGAAUGUGUUUCAGGAUUCCUGAGGCGUCCAUGAAAACGGAAUAAUUCCAGGGCUUUUGAGUUUGCCAUCACUGUCCAGCCCCGGAGCUGUGGCCGCUCUGAGACUCAGAUAAGAUCAGAGUCCACACUGCAUCUCAGAAGCCACUUUUUCCUUGCACGAGGUGCAUGCCAGUCCCCAAUCAGGAACUAAAGGUUCAUUUAUGUGCAAAAACGGGCUCUGCAUUGGCCCCUGAAAUCUACUGGUCUCAACCCUAACAUUAGAGGCCAGGAUUUGGGAUAAUUUCCACAAAACAACGUCAGGAAAAUUAAAUUGCUUUGUUUUUCUCAGUAUAUUUACAAAUAUAAUAGUAUUUUUAUAUGUUAUACUUGUUAAGUAUUUUGUAAAUUAACACUGAAUCUAAUAGUUUUGAAUGUUAAAGGUGGUGUGUAUAAUUGUUUUCCGUCUUAUAGUUGGCAUAAAAUGAAAAUGCAAAUGAAAAUUCCAAGUGCGUGUUAUGAAAUACAUUUUUGAAGGAAGUCUCUUCUGCUCACCAAGGCUGCAUUUAUUUGAUCAAAAGUACAGUAAAAACAGCACAACUGUGAAACAUUAUUACAAUCUAAAAUAAACAUAUUCUAUUUGAAUAUAUUUUAAAAUGUAAUUUAUUCCUGUGACGCAAAGCUGAAUUUUCAGCAUCAUUACUCCAGUCUUCAUGAUCCUUCAGAAAUAAUUUUAAUAUGCUGCUCAAGAAACAUUUCUUAUUGUUAACAAUAUCAU
Molecule: long non-coding RNA, 6512 nt
Organism: Onychostoma macrolepis
Lineage: Eukaryota; Metazoa; Chordata; Actinopteri; Cypriniformes; Cyprinidae
Exons: 3
Source: RefSeq, a predicted model, not a curated record